This 281-nucleotide ribosomal RNA is filed under the name Varuna litterata. RNAcentral describes it as "partial 12S ribosomal RNA". Lineage: Eukaryota; Metazoa; Arthropoda; Malacostraca; Decapoda; Varunidae. The record is from RNAcentral.
CUUAAAUAUUUAAAGCUAAAUUAGUAAAAGAUAAAUACUUAAAAUUUAAAAAAUUUGGCGGCAAUUUAAUCUUUUCGGAGGAACCUGUUUUGUAAUCGAUAAACCACGUAAAAUCUUACUUGAUUUUGUUAAUUUCAGUUUGUAUACCAUCAUUAUCAGAUAAUUCUUAAAGGAAAAAUUAUCAAAUUUAAUUAUUUAAAAAAAUUAGAUCAAGGUGCAGUUUAUAAUCAAGGUAAAAUGGGUUACAAUAAAUUAUUUUAUUGCAAUUAACUGAUAUAAUA